This 449-nucleotide ribosomal RNA is filed under the name uncultured bacterium. RNAcentral describes it as "partial 16S ribosomal RNA". It matches the Rfam family "Bacterial small subunit ribosomal RNA", at positions 29 to 523 of the family's 1533-position model. The record is from RNAcentral.
AACGAACGCUGGCGGCAUGCCUAACACAUGCAAGUCGAACGAGAUCUUCGGGUCUAGUGGCGCACGGGUGCGUAACGCGUGGGAAUCUGCCCUUUGGUUCGGAAUAACAGUUGGAAACGACUGCUAAUACCGGAUGAUGACGAAAGUCCAAAGAUUUAUCGCCAGAGGAUGAGCCCGCGUAGGAUUAGCUAGUUGGUGUGGUAAAGGCGCACCAAGGCGACAAUCCUUAGCUGGUCUGAGAGGAUGAUCAGCCACACUGGGACUGAGACACGGCCCAGACUCCUACGGGAGGCAGCAGUGGGGAAUAUUGGACAAUGGGCGAAAGCCUGAUCCAGCAAUGCCGCGUGAGUGAUGAAGGCCUUAGGGUUGUAAAGCUCUUUUACCCGGGAUGAUAGUGACAGUACCGGGAGAAUAAGCUCCGGCUAACUCCGUGCCAGCAGCCGCCGCCG